UUCUUGACUUGCUCUUCAUGGCGGGCUCYUCGCGCUUUGGCGCGACCAACCGACAUGGGGCUGUCUCUUCACUCUCCCUCCCGUCAGCAAAAAUUUGUCGGGUCGGGAUGCUUGUCAUCGGUUGCCUGUGCGGUUCUACCCUUUUGCGGGUAGCGAAGUCGUCCCUCGAUGGAUAUUUGCUUGCCCUGCUGACAUUGUUUUGUCGCUCGGGCGGCCGAAAUGUCGGUGAAAUCCUCGUGUUGCUGUGCGGGCGAAUGCCUCGCUGCUUUCACUUGAAUUUUUGCCGGCUCUCAUGGAUGCCGUGCCCCGUUGUUAGCUCUGCGGGCCUCUGUCCCGCAGACUCCGGGAGGUCCCUUGCACGGAUCAUUGCUCUUCGGGCGCUCUGAAGGCGUCGUGUUGGCGAUGCUGACGUGCAUGCGGAAUGCCUUCCCGAUCGUACGAGGAGCGAUUGUCGGUUCGCGUCGUGAAGAGCGCCUCCCGUUCGGGUCGGUGCUGGAAAUGACGCGCCGGCUAUCGUUUAAGACGUGC
This 528-nucleotide unclassified non-coding RNA is filed under the name Scirpus divaricatus. RNAcentral's name for it is "partial external transcribed spacer 1f". The record is from RNAcentral. Lineage: Eukaryota; Viridiplantae; Streptophyta; Magnoliopsida; Poales; Cyperaceae.